Molecule: ribosomal RNA, 393 nt
Filed under: uncultured bacterium
Lineage: Bacteria
Description: partial 16S ribosomal RNA
Rfam family: Bacterial small subunit ribosomal RNA
Source: RNAcentral
AUACGGAGGAUGCGAGCGUUAUCCGGAUUUAUUGGGUUUAAAGGGUGCGUAGGCUGUUUUUCAAGUCAGGGGUGAAAUGCCGGGGCUCAACUCCGGAGCUGCCUUUGAUACUGGGAGGCUGGAAUACUGUUGCCGUGGGAGGAAUGAGUAGUGUAGCGGUGAAAUGCAUAGAUAUUACUCAGAACACCGAUUGCGAAGGCAUCUCACGAAGCAGUGAUUGACGCUGAGGCACGAAAGCGUGGGGAUCAAACAGGAUUAGAUACCCUGGUAGUCCACGCAGUAAACGAUGAUAACUAACCGUUGGCGAUAGACAGCCAGUGGCCAAGCGAAAGCGAUAAGUUAUCCACCUGGGGAGUACGACCGCAAGGUUGAAACUCAAAUGAAUUGACGGGG